Caenorhabditis elegans is the source of this 117-nucleotide non-coding RNA. The record is from Ensembl. Lineage: Eukaryota; Metazoa; Nematoda; Chromadorea; Rhabditida; Rhabditidae.
UAGAUGAAGAGAGACGUUGUGACGUUACUGAAACAUCUUCUUGAAUAUUCCAAAAGGAAUCCAACAAGUUGAAUAUGCAUUGUUAUUGUAACUUGAGACUUGUCCAUUGGAAGAUGU